AUUGAACGCUGGCGGAAUGCUUUACACAUGCAAGUCGAACGGCAGCACGGACUUCGGUCUGGUGGCGAGUGGCGAACGGGUGAGUAAUGUAUCGGAACGUGCCCAGUCGUGGGGGAUAACGUAGUGAAAAUUACGCUAAUACCGCAUACGAUCUAUGGAUGAAAGCAGGGGAUCGCAAGACCUCGCGCGAUUGGAGCGGCCGAUAUCAGAUUAGGUAGUUGGUGGGGUAAAGGCCCACCAAGCCAACGAUCUGUAGCUGGUCUGAGAGGACGACCAGACACACUGGAACGGAGGCACGGUCCAGACUCCUACGGGAGGCAGCAGUGGGGAAGUUUGGACAAUGGGCGAAAGCCUUAUCCAGCCAUUCCGCGUGCAGGAUGAAGGCCCUCGGGUUGUAAACUGCUUUUGUACAGAACGAAAAGGUUUCUACUAAUACUAGGAGCUCAUGACGGUACUGUAAGAAUAAGCACCGGCUAACUACGUGCCAGCCGCCGCCGUAA
Molecule: ribosomal RNA, 500 nt
Filed under: uncultured bacterium
Lineage: Bacteria
Description: partial 16S ribosomal RNA
Rfam family: Bacterial small subunit ribosomal RNA
Source: RNAcentral